CCUACGGGCGGCAGCAGUGGGGAAUCUUGGUCAAUGACCGGAAGGCUGAACCAGCCAUGCCGCGUGAAGGUCAGUGCCCUAUGGGCGGUAAACUUCUUUUGUGCGGGAGCAAUAAUGGUCACGUGUGUCCAUACGAGAGUACCGUCCAAAUAAGCAUCGGCUCACUCCGUGCCAGCAGCCGCGGUAAUACGGGUGAUGCAAGCGUUAUCCGGAUUUAUAGGGUGUAAAGGGUGAGGCGGGUGUGAGGUAAUGAAGCAUGGAAAUGCCCCGGCUCAACGGGGUGAAGUGCCAUCGAUACUGGCAGGCUGGAAUGCGGUAGAGGUGGGUGGAAUGUGUGGUGUAGCGGUGAAAUGCGUAGAGAUCAGAAGGAACACCGAUUGCGAAGGCAGCCCACGGGUCAGAGACUGACGCUGAGGCACGAAAGCGUGGGGAGCAAACAGGAUUAGAUACCCUUGUAGUC
This 460-nucleotide ribosomal RNA is filed under the name uncultured bacterium. Its description in RNAcentral is "partial 16S ribosomal RNA". It matches the Rfam family "Bacterial small subunit ribosomal RNA", at positions 338 to 795 of the family's 1533-position model. The record is from RNAcentral.